This 468-nucleotide ribosomal RNA is filed under the name uncultured bacterium. RNAcentral's name for it is "partial 16S ribosomal RNA". It matches the Rfam family "Bacterial small subunit ribosomal RNA", at positions 28 to 507 of the family's 1533-position model. The record is from RNAcentral.
GACGAACGCUGGCGGCGUGCUUAACACAUGCAAGUCGAACGGAAAGGCCCUGCUUUUGUGGGGUGCUCGAGUGGCGAACGGGUGAGUAACACGUGAGUAACCUGCCCUUGACUUUGGGAUAACUUCAGGAAACUGGGGCUAAUACCGGAUAGGAGCUCCGGCUGCAUGGUGGGGGUUGGAAAGUUUCGGCGGUUGGGGAUGGACUCGCGGCUUAUCAGCUUGUUGGUGGGGUAGUGGCUUAUCAAGGCUUUGACGGGUAGCCGGCCUGAGAGGGUGACCGGCCACAUUGGGACUGAGAUACGGCCCAGACUCCUACGGGAGGCAGCAGUGGGGAAUAUUGCACAAUGGGCGGAAGCCUGAUGCAGCAACGCCGCGUGCGGGAUGACGGCCUUCGGGUUGUAAACCGCUUUCGCCUGUGACGAAGCGUGAGUGACGGUAAUGGGUAAAGAAGCACCGGCUAACUACGUG